AUGGCAGGUCCUGGUAUUUGGCAAGUCACUAGUGGGGAGUCUACCUACUGUGUGAACCUUGAUAAGUGGACCUGUGACUGCAAGAAGUGGGACCUAUGUGGUUGGCCAUGUAACCAUGCAGUUUCUGCCAUUACAAGAGUGAAGGGACAGCCAGAAGACUAUGUGCAUGAGUUCUUCAAAAAACCAUUGUAUAAGGAAACAUACAAGCACAUCAUCUACCCUGUACCAGGGCCUGACUGUUGGCCUAAGACACCAACUGCUGACAUAGAUCCACCAGUGUUCAAAGAGAAGAAGGGCAGGAAGCAAACAACUAGGAGGAAGGGGCAAUUUGAGGUCCCAACAAGGAAGGAUACAUCAAGGAUGGCAACUAUCACCUGCAGCAACUGCAAGAUGCAGAAACAUAGGUACACCUAUUGCCCUUAG
This 423-nucleotide ribosomal RNA is filed under the name Triticum aestivum (bread wheat). RNAcentral's name for it is "partial small subunit ribosomal RNA". Lineage: Eukaryota; Viridiplantae; Streptophyta; Magnoliopsida; Poales; Poaceae. The record is from RNAcentral.